UGAGGAAUAUUGGUCAAUGGGCGGGAGCCUGAACCAGCCGAGCCGCGUGAGGGAGGAAGGCCCUAUGGGUCGUAAACCUCUUUUGUCAGGGAACAAAAGCGAGUAUGUAUACUAGUCUGAGUGUACCUGAAGAAAAAGCAUCGGCUAACUCCGUGCCAGCAGCCGCGGUAAUACGGAGGAUGCGAGCGUUAUCCGGAUUUAUUGGGUUUAAAGGGUGCGUAGGCGGCGGUGCAAGUCAGCGGUAAAAGCCCGGGGCUCAACCCCGGCGAGCCGUUGAAACUGCAGUGCUAGAGAAGGCGAGAGGUACGCGGAAUGCGCAGUGUAGCGGUGAAAUGCUUAGAUAUUGCGCAGAACUCCGAUUGCGAAGGCAGCGUACUGGCGCCUGACUGACGCUGAGGCACGAAAGCGUGGGGAUCGAACAGGAUUAGAUACCC
This 434-nucleotide ribosomal RNA is filed under the name uncultured bacterium. RNAcentral's name for it is "bacterial SSU rRNA". It matches the Rfam family "Bacterial small subunit ribosomal RNA", at positions 355 to 787 of the family's 1533-position model. The record is from RNAcentral.